RNAcentral lists this ribosomal RNA (353 nucleotides) under uncultured bacterium. RNAcentral describes it as "partial 16S ribosomal RNA". It matches the Rfam family "Bacterial small subunit ribosomal RNA", at positions 338 to 708 of the family's 1533-position model. The record is from RNAcentral.
CCUACGGGUGGCAGCAGUAGGGAAUAUUGCUCAAUGGGGGAAACCCUGAAGCAGCAACGCCGCGUGGAGGAUGAAGGUUUUCGGAUUGUAAACUCCUUUUGUUAGAGAAGAUAAUGACGGUAUCUAACGAAUACUCACCGGCUAACUCCGUGCCAGCAGCCGCGGUAAUACGGAGGGUGCAAGCGUUACGCGGAAUUACUGGGGGUAAGGAGCGAGUAGGCGGGAUAGCAAGUCAGAUGUGAAAUCCUAUGGCGUAACCAGGGAACUGCAUUUGAAACUGUUAUGCUAGAGUGUGGGAGAGGGAGGUGGAAUUCUUGGUGUAGGGGUAAAAUGCGUAGAGAGCAAGAGGAAGA